GACGAACGCUGGCGGCGUGCUUAACACAUGCAAGUCGAACGGAAAGGCCUUUUCGGCGGUACUCGAGUGGCGAACGGGUGAGUAACACGUGGGUGAUCUGCCCUGCACUCUGGGAUAAGCCUGGGAAACUGGGUCUAAUACCGGAUAGGACCGCACUUUAGUGUGUGUGGUGGAAAGUUUUUUCGGUGUAGGAUGAGCCCGCGGCCUAUCAGCUUGUUGGUGGGGUAAUGGCCUACCAAGGCGGCGACGGGUAGCCGGACUGAGAGGUUGGUCGGCCACAUUGGGACUGAGAGACGGCCCAGACUCCUACGGGAGGCAGCAGUGGGGAAGAUUGCACAAUGGGCGCAAGCCGGAUGCAGCGACGCCGCGGGGGGGAUGACGGCCUUCGGGUUGGAAACUCCUUUCGCCAGGGACGAAGCGUUUUGUGACGGUACCUGGAGAAGAAGCACCGGCUAACUACGUG
This 463-nucleotide ribosomal RNA is filed under the name uncultured bacterium. Its description in RNAcentral is "partial 16S ribosomal RNA". It matches the Rfam family "Bacterial small subunit ribosomal RNA", at positions 28 to 507 of the family's 1533-position model. The record is from RNAcentral.